AUUAGGUUAUCUAUUAAGCAUGGCACUGAAGAUGCCAAGACGGUUGCCCUCAUCAUACCCAGGGACA
RNAcentral lists this transfer RNA (67 nucleotides) under Gavia pacifica (Pacific loon). Its description in RNAcentral is "tRNA-Phe". The record is from RNAcentral. Lineage: Eukaryota; Metazoa; Chordata; Aves; Gaviiformes; Gaviidae.